CCUACGGGAGGCAGCAGUGGGGAAUAUUGCACAAUGGGGGAAACCCUGAUGCAGCGACGCCGCGUGAGCGAUGAAGUAUUUCGGUAUGUAAAGCUCUAUCAGCAGGGAAGAAAAUGACGGUACCUGACUAAGAAGCCCCGGCUAACUACGUGCCAGCAGCCGCGGUAAUACGUAGGGGGCAAGCGUUAUCCGGAUUUACUGGGUGUAAAGGGAGCGUAGACGGCUUGGCAAGCCAGAUGUGAAAGGCUGGGGCUCAACCCCAGGACUGCAUUUGGAACUGUCAUGCUAGAGUGUCGGAGAGGCAG
Molecule: ribosomal RNA, 305 nt
Filed under: uncultured bacterium
Lineage: Bacteria
Description: bacterial SSU rRNA
Rfam family: Bacterial small subunit ribosomal RNA
Source: RNAcentral